CAUAAUGUAUUGAUCUUGCUCCAAAAAUGUUAAAAGUUAAUAAUAACUUCACAAAAAUCCUAAGUACUAAUAUCUUUGUCCUGGAUCUCGAAGAAACUCCUUCAACAAACAAUUGAAAGAAAUGUUUACAACCUAGAAUUGGUGGGGUGUGCCAAGCCAAGGUAGUAGUGCAACACCUAGGCGACGUUUAAAGGUCCUGAUAGCAAGCUACCGUGAUGGACCUUCCCCUCAUAUUCUUCUGUUGUGAACACUAUUGAAAACUAAUAAGAAACACAAAUUAUUUUUCACGAAUCUUUAAAGAUUUGUCGAUUCAUAACACAAAUUAAAUCUUUUGAUACUCUAGAGAUUUGAGAAUGACCUUUUAUAAUUCCCAAAUAAUUGAUAAGUGAGAAUGUAAAGUAAGCUUUUACAACUAAAUUUAGUGGGGGUGCGUCAAGCCAAGACAGUAGUGCAAUGCCAGAGGACGCUUGAAGGUCCUGAAUCCCAAUAGCAAGCUACCGUAUGGACAUCCCCUAAAAAAUAGAGUCAGUAUAAUGUAAUAUACUGAUAUGAACAGAUACUACACUUGAUCUUACAUUAGAGGUGGUACUUUGCGAUUAUGUAGAUAAAAUGGUAUUUUUAAGACAUCAAACACCAGUGGUCUAGUGGUAGAACAAUACCCUGCCACUGUACAGUCCUGGGUUCGACUAUCUGAGUGCUGUGAAGAUAAAUUGUGCAGUCAGUGAGAACUUUGGGUGCUCACCUUGUGUCUGAUAUUAGACGACAAAACCAUAUAUAGGUUCACCAUUUAUCUUUAGGUGUAGCACAGUUACAAAUUAGAAGGGACAAAUUGUGUACUGUUAUGAAAAAAAAGGUUUUUAGAACUAGAAUUGGUGGGGUGAGCCAGGCCAAGGCAGUAGUGCAACACCAGGGCGACUAUUGAAGGUCCCGAUAGCAAGCUACCGUGGUGAACCUCCCCCUUAAAAAAUAGAGUUAAUAUCGUGUGAGUCAAUGACUCACAUAUCAGAUAUUAAACUGAUAAGAACAGAUACUACACUUGAUCUUAGCCAAAAGGCCGAGAAAGGUAUGCUUUUCCAUGUGUUAUGCCGGGAUAUUUUAUAUGUCACUUGUUAAAUUAAAUAUCUCUUUCUAGGCAGUGUGGGAUAAAAAUGUGUUUCUGGAAAAUUAGAAGGACUCUAAGAAGUUCAUCUAUCAAAAUUAAGGCCAUGGAAACAAAGUUUUUGAGUUAUUUUUUGAUUCGUCGAUGGAUUUUCUUUAUUUAUUGAUAAAAAUCACCAGUGAUUAAGUUCAAUAUCUUCCAAGAGGAAAAGUAUCAAGUGAUUUCUUUUCAUUUUCUUAUGUUUUUGGUGAACUCGAUUAUCCAUAUCUACGUGGUUGGUAGAGUUUCAUGAUGGUGGAAUGGACUGAAAACCACCAAUAUCUCUAGUUUGUUUCAUUGUACAAAUGAUUUAGUUUGGAAUUUUUUUUGGUAAAGAUGGAAUAAAAUUGAUGUUGAUAAUUUAUAUGCAAAAUCCAACUAAUUCAGGAUUGAGGCAUCAUUGCAAUGGUUGAAUUGCUAUUUUUGUAUUAUAGUUGUACUGCAUUUCUUUGAAAGGUAAAAAACAAUAUGAUGUCCCAGACUGAUCUUAUCUGCAUCAAUUUCAGGAUCUAAAUAGGAUAGAAAAUUCUAAAACUGUCAGUAGCAUUACAUGUGAAAGAGAAUUUAGUCUUCUUUGUUCUAAUAUGGACUUAAGUUUGGAACCUUCUAUCUCAGGAGGCAGUUACAACCAGUGUUUUAAAGGGCGGGGCAUGAGGCGAGACGUAAGCCCCGAGACAUAGGGAGUAAGUCCCAUGGAUCUACGGGGCAUAGUCUCAUUUAUUCAAUUUUAUAAUUUUAUUACUAAGAAAAUAAGCAAAAGUAAAAUUAAACUUUCAAUUAUUUUACAAGUAAUUUUUAUAAAUAACCUAUAAUAUAUAGAAAAAUUAUUAUGAUUUUUAUUUGAGAUAGAUAUUAAUAAGCAAUAAUGAAGAAAAAAAGUAUAAUAAUUACUAUUUUAGAAAUAUCACUACACCAAUAAUAAAAAAAAUAUGAUUUAAAGCAAAAAAAAAAAAGAAUAAUUAAAAACACUCAGGGCAAACGUUUUUAUGCCCAAAACUUUGGGUUUUAUGCUUAGUGCUUACUCCCCAAAUUCUAGGACUUAUCAAUUUGCGCCCAAGCAUUUUUGGUACGUCCCGCCCUGAGACUCGCCCAACAACCGUUUUUGAAAACACUGAUUACAACUCUUUAGAUAGCUAUAGAAGUUUAACUACUGAUGGUAACAAUACUGAUAUUUAGUUUCUUUCUAUUUUUUCUCUGCCAUUUCAGAUUGUGAUGAUAUCAGUAUACUUCCAUUUUUUCCUUAAAAAAAUAUUAAUUAUAUCUUGAUUGAUGAAACUUAUGAUUAAGGGAGCAAGAAUCAUUUUGUUUGAUGGAUCUCACGAAAUCAUGAAUUGAAAAACCUACAUGAGGACCCAUUUGGUAGAAGGUGAUGAAGAGUUGUUGGACUCAACCUCUUUUGUUUCUCUUGUUGAUGCUGGUGAAAAGGAUUCAACUACUAAAUCGACUUUCACAAAUUUCAAUGAAUCACUUUAUUGAAAGUUUAAAUAUAGUAGAGAUACAAUUAGAAGCCCAGACUUGGUAACGGGAAGAUUUAUGUUGAGUGAGACUCAUAAUAUUAUUGUUCUUGAUCUCUUUGAUCAGCUAGAGAAUCAGAAGGCUCGAACUGAUAAUGCAGAAGAGCAUCUGAAGAUUAGGAGAAAAGUAUUCUUUGAUUCGGUAGUUGAAUGUCUGGAAUUCAGUUGAUUGUAAACAGAGUUUUGGCAGAGGUCUUGAAGCUUGGGCAAAGUGGACAACCACUUCUUCCUUUUGAUCAAUGUUGUCCAUUUUGCCCAAGCUUCAAAACCUCGGCCAAAACUCUGUUUACAUCUAAAUUCUAGACAUUCAACCACCUAAUCAAACAACACUUUUUUCCUAAUCUUCACAUGCUCUUUUGUAUUUUUUUAAAUUCAAGCCUUCUGAUUCUCUUAGUGGUAAAAGAGAUCACAAGCAAUAAUACUCUGAGCCUCACUCAACCCAAAUCCUGCCAUUACCAAGUCUAAGCUUCUAAUAUAUCUCUAAUAUAUCUAAAAUUACAAUAAGGUGAUUAAUUAAAAUUUGUGCGAGUCAAUUUAGUAGUUAAAUCAUUUUCACUAGGAUUAGCAAGAGAAACAUAAGAGGUUGAAUCUCACAACUCUGCAUCAGCUUCACCAAAUAGGUCCUCAUGUAGGUUUUCCAAUUUAUAAUUUCGUGAGUAUCACCAAAAAAACAGAUGAUACUUGCUCCCUGAAUAUUCAGUUUCCAUUAGUUAAGAUUUAAUUGAUAUAUUUUCAGGGGGAAGUGGAAGUAUAUUGGUAAUGACAACAUUCAGUUCUUCAUUCAAUGUAAUGACUUGACAACAUCUUUAAAUUCCAUGAGCAAUUACUACACCGAUCUUAUGAGAAAGUGUAUCACCUAAUUUUUAUGAAUCUCUUAUAAUUUUGAGUUAAACAAACCUUAUGAAAUGCCUUUUCUUUAACAUUUCUAUUAAGCAAAUUCAACUACCUUCUUCCUAUAAUUAAUUUAUUGAAGCAACGAUAUACAACCAAAUUAGAGAACAAUGACUAAAAAGGCAUAAAAACAAGUAGUCAAUAUAGGCGUAGAAAGAAAUUUGACGAAAGAGUGGACACUUAAACGAUCGAAUUCAACAUAUAUCAUCAUAAUCUUAAAUAGGAGAAAAAAAUAGAAUGAAGUUAAGUAUUAGUAUUAUUACCAUCAGUAGUUAUACUUUUGUAGCUAUCCAAAGAGUUGCAUUUGUCUCCUGAAAUAGAAGGUUCCAAACUUGAGAUCAGACUAGAACAAUGGAGUCUGUAUUCUUUUUCACACGUAAUGUUGCUGACAGUUUUAGGAUUUUCUACUCUAUUUUGGAUCCUGAAAUUGAUGCAGAUAAAAUUAGCCUAGCUAGUACAUUAUACUUUUUUUUUCCUUUUCUAAGAAAAUGCAGUAUAGUAAUAAUACAGAAAUAGGAAUUCAACAACUGCAAUAAUACCUCAAUCCUGAAUUAGUUGGAUUUUGCAUAUAAAAUCUCAACAUCAAUUUAAUUCCUUCUCCACCAUUUUUCCCAAUACUUAAUAAUUUGUAGUACACCUUCAAACAAAAAGCAGAGUCAGUUGAGAAACCAAACAAUGAAUAAGCCAGAUGGCUAAAAAAAUGAACCUUUAAAAACUGAUCUCAACAGCAACAACAAUAGCAACAGCAUCAAGGUGGGGAAUGUUAAUCCCCCAUAACCAAAGGGGGAAGAAGCUACCGUUGGGGAGCACAAGAGAGAACAUCUCCGCAGAGGCGAUGAGAACAAGGAGAAGAAGAGGCGGAGAGCACAAAUCAUAAAACCCUAUCAUUUAGGGUUCUUUUAUAUUCACCUGGUCUGACCACUUUUGGGCCGACCAGCUCUUUUUUUGGUAUAUUUAUGUGUGGAUCCAUUUAGGAGCCCAUAUUUUAUUAAAUAAAAUGGACCAUGAGUUCAGAUUUAAACUUUAAAAAAGGGAUAUUGGUAGUUUUCAAUGUCAAUUGUGGUUUUCGAUCCAUUCCACAACUAUACUUGAUUUGUUUGGUUUUAUCUAAAAAAAAUGUCAAUUCGAGAUCAAACCAACCCGACAUUCAACAAAUUUGGUUAUCAGGGAUGAAUAAUUUCAUCAUCUAUAAAUCAUAUUUCGUCACUAAAACUCUUGUGUGACGAAAAAAAUUUCAUCAAUCAGUUGUCACUAAACGUGUGUCACUAAAAGUUUACAAAGACGAUUUAGUGCUUCGUCACUAAAAUAUUAUAUUAACUACAAAAAGAAAAAUUGUCCCCAUAUGCAUAAACAUUCUGACGAAUUUAUUUGUCAUAAAAAGUGUAACUUUUUUGUAGUUAAUAGUAUGUUUUGUCACUAAAAAUAUUAUUAUUAGUGACAAAAUUAAAUCAUCACUAAUUUAUCAUGUUCAAUCAGUGACGACAUCAAAUGUCUCUAAAGCUAUAUGUAUUUCGUAGUUGAAAAAAUACAAUAUCGUCACUAAUGACUAUUUUAAUAUAUACAAAAAAAAUAUUUUGUCCUUAAUGUAUAAAUUAGGGACAAAUUUAUUAUUAUAAAAGAGGUUAAUAAUUUUGUGAUUAAAUAUAUCAUUUUUUCACUAAAAGUGUUGCUUUUAUCGACGACAUAUAUUGUCACUAAAUAUUAUCAUAAGUAAUUACAAUUACAAUUGUCACAAAAUAAAAAAAUAAUUCAUAUUCAAUAAAAGGGGGUACUAGGACAAUACAUUUUGUGUCACUGAAUGUAAUGAACUUGUGAUGAAUUAAUUUAAUUCAUGACAAAAAUAUUUUUCAUAAAAUUCACCCAUGAUCACACAAUAAAAAUAACUAAAAUUAUACUAAAUUAAUAAUAUCUCAUUACAAACUCCUUAAAUAAAAGUAAAAUAUGUCCAAUGACAAGAAAAUCUAACUAAAAUAUAUCAAAUAUUACUCCUAAACAAAGACAUAUAAGUAAAAAUUCUUUCCAAAAUAUCAAUAAUGUGGUAAUACAUAGCUGGUAAUCAAUCUUGAUUCAUUUCUCACCCUUUAUACCUGUACAAAGAGAGAGAAAAUAAAACAAAGAUUUAGAUUGAGAUGAUUAUACUAGAGUCAAAAGUAAAAUGUGUAACACAAUUUGUCUUUCAUAUGUUCUAAUACCCACUUUAAUAAGGCUUAUUUGAUGGAUUGUCCCUGAUAUUACAAUUCCAUAUAUAUAUAUAUAUAUAUAUUAGUAGUUUCCAAUUUACAAUAUAAAUUUUAUCAUUACAAGUUUAACAUAAGUGAAAGUUUAUGGAGUAUAUCAUCACAAACUAUACAUGGCAACAUAAACUCUAUCAUUCAUGAAGACUAUUAACUAUUAAAAUAUAAUGUAAUCUAUGUAGAAAUUCUCACAUUCGAAUCAAACAUGCGUGAAUUAAAGGAGAAAUUACAUAUAACUAGAAUUUAUAGCCUCAUCCAUUUUGUUGCAAAAAAAAGAAGUGAGAGUUCUAGAAAACAAAACUCAAGCAAUUUCUUAGAACAAAAUAGAAAAAGACCACCAAUUUAUAAAACAAAUUAAUGUGAUUAAGAAAUGACACAAAUGAAGCAAUCAAAAGGCUUUUUUAUCAUGAAGUUGACAGAUAAAUACUUGUAAGUCCAGAUCUUUUUUAUCUAGCUCAUUUAACUAAAAAUUGAAAUGUUAUGUCAGUGAAUUAGGUGCAUCUUGAUAUAUCGUGAGUUUACGGUAUUUCUAAUACAUUUCAUUUACCAGUUGUGUGUGUCUAGGACCUUUUUAUAUUGGUUUUUAUGUGUUUUUAUCAUGUUUUGCAGGAAAGAUGUACAGGCGCGGAAGUAUAGAGACAGCCGAAAGAAAUGCAGAAACAAGGGCAUUCACGGAGGUGAUCUACGGACCGUAGGUCCAUUCACGGUCCGUAUGUGAUGACCGUAGAUCAGCAGGCAUGGGUAUUGAGGACAAAUCAGGGAAAUCUGAUCAAGUGUGGAACCACGGUGUCCAUUGACGGUCCGUAGUUGUAUCUAUGGACCGUACUAUUGAUCCGUAGAGUGAUACUGCGAGGGUUCCAGUACCUGAUUUUUGAAGAUUCUAAGUGUGGAGCUACGGAGGGGAUUGACGGACCGUAGAUCGAUCUACGGUCCGUCAAUCCCCUCCGUAGCUCCACACUUAGAAUCUUCAAAAAAUCAGGUACUGGAACCCUCGCAGUAUCAAUCUACGGAUCAACAGUACGGUCCGUAGAUCAAUCUACGNNNNNNNNNNNNNNNNNNNNNNNNNNNNNNNNNNNNNNNNNNNNNNNNNNNNNNNNNNNNNNNNNNNNNNNNNNNNNNNNNNNNNNNNNNNNNNNNNNNNNNNNNNNNNNNNNNUGAAAGUUUAUGGAGUAUAUCAUCACAAACUACUCUACAUGGCAACAUAAACUCUAUCAUUCAUGAAAACUAUUAACUAUUAAAAUAUAAUGUAAUCUAUGUAGAAAUUCUCACAUUCGAAUCAAACAUGCGUGAAUUAAAGGAGAAAGUACAUAAAUGCCAUCAAUUUAUAAAACAAAUUAAUGUGAUUAAGAAAUGACACAAAUGAAGCAAUCAAAAGGCUCUUUUUUCAUGAAGUUGACAGAUAAAUACUAGUAAGUCUAAAUCUUUUUUUAUCUAGCUCAUUUAACUAAAAAUUGAAAUGUUAUGUCAGUUAAUUAGGUGCAUGUUAUCAACAAUGUAAUUCUCAUUCGCUAAAUACAAAAGCUCUAAAAUAAUUCAUGAAUGUGGCAAGUGAAUACAAUAGCCAAGAACUGAUAUUGCUAAGGCAAUGAAUUAAAGUCUCUUAAUUGAAACAAAUAUUUCUAACGUGCCUAAAACUCACCUAGUAUUAAAAGUACUUACUCUUAUUUUGGUGAAUUUUAGAGAACUAAUUUUUCAUUCCAUUAUUAAAUUAACUGAUACUAUUUUUAAAUAAAUUAAUCCUCAUAUCAAAGGAUUCAACUAAUUCAAAAUGGAGUAAAUUCAAGUUUAACAACAUAACCCAUUUGUUUGUUUGUUAGGUAAUCACAUUUAUUUAAAAAUAUGUAAAUUAAAAUAGGCAAUUGACAUGAACAUUAAGCUACAAUAAUGUCAUAAAAAUAGUGGCUUAGGCAUGACAAAAUUAAACAACUAUAACAACAACAACAAAAAUAAAAAAUUCUUACAUUAUAUAGGACUUCAUUCAUUAAAUAGAGAUAUAACACUUUAACCCAAUCUUCAUUUCAAUCGAAUUAUAAAUAAAACAAAAUUAUAGAAAAAUUUAUCACAUAAUUACAUCAAUUUCCAUAUAUAAAUUAAGAGAUUAGGUGAAGUUGAGUACCACAAAUGAAGAAAUAAAAAUCGCAAAGUCUUGAUCGAAACUCGAUUAAAACACUCAUAAUAUUUUUUUUUGGUGCGAGUGUAUUGUAUUUUUGUUUCCGUGUGUUGUUAUUGCUUUGCGUGUAUAUUGUUUUUUAUUUUUUUGGUUUGUGCUGAUCGUCCUUUUUUUGUUUGUUUGUGUAUUUUUGUGUGAUGGUAGUAUAGGAGUUUUUUUUCCUUUCGUUCCUUUUUGUCGUUUGCUGGGUUUGGGGUAGUGUAGGUGUGUGUUGCUGAUUCUUUUAGUUUUGGUUUAUUGUUGUGUUAAUACAGGUAAUGAUUGUGUGUGUGGGUAGAUGGUGGGUAAACUAUUAGGGUAGUGGGAGGAAAAUAGGAUGGUGUAGGUGUAGUAGUGGGGUAAGAGGUAGUUUAGGUGAGUUUUUAUUUAUUUAUUAAAUUUAUAUAAAAAAUUAUAAAAAUAUUAGCUAAUUAUUUUGAACUAAUGAAAAUAUAAGAAAAAAAAUUUAGUUAAUCUAAAAAUGUAAUUAAAGAAAAUAUUAAAAGAAAACAUAUAAAAAAAUUUAUAAUUUUUUAUAUCUUUUUAAAACAAUUGAAAAAAUAAAACUUACCUAACAAUGUGAUUCAAUUUUUUGUGCUUUUCAAAUAAUUUAAAAUAAACUUAAUAAAAUAAAAUUAAAAUUAAAAUAUUUGAUUGAAGUUGAAAUAAGACAAGUAAUUAUCGAUUAAUUAUUUGAGGUUCUUAAUUUAAACAAGACAAAAUAUUUCUUAAUUUAUACAAAGACAAAAUAUUUCUUAAGACAUAAAUUAAUUAAUAAUUAUACAUAAAUAUGAAGUUAACUAAUUUAGAGUUAUAUAUAUAUAGAGAGAGAGAGAGACACACACACAGUUAUAUAAUUAUUUCUAAAAACUUAAAAAACUAUUUAGUGAAUAGAUUUAAAAUAUUUUUGAAAUUUUCAAAAUAAUGAUUUCAAAUUGAAGAAGCUCGAUAAUUAAUACGAAUUGCAUAUGAUCAAAAUUGGGUGUCAACACUCGAGAUGAUUGAAAGGUGUCCUAUAUUAUAAUUGUAUAUAAUCAAUGUUUAUGCACACUUAUAAAGUGCAGGUACAUUAUUUAAAAAUUAUCUACAAUUGAUUUGUGUAUGAGUUGUUUAAUUAUGUAUAACAAUAUUAAAGUGUAUAUAAGCACCUUUUAUACACUAUUAUACACGUAUAUACAAGUCUAUACACUAUUUUAAAUUAAAAUAUUAUUCAGUAUAAUUAUAAAGUUACAUAAAAUUAAACUUUCGACUUUAUUAAAAGAAAUACUAAUACUCGAUUCACUUCGAUCGGUAAAUCAAAUUUUAAAAAAAUAUUGAUACCCACAACGAUAGUACUUUAUCAUAAUAUAUUCAAAAUCUUAGUUGGUUAAUUUCUUUCAUUUGUGCUUUCAUUUUUUUUAGUUUAUUUCAAUUUCGACACGAAUGAAAAAGGUAAUAGAAUCCAUGAAAUAUUUUGCAUCUUUGCAGUCUAAGUUUGUAAGUCGAUAAUAUCUCUAUAGAGUUGCUCUACGUAAAAGGAUCCACUACUAAUUAUGUAUGUAUUUUUAGAAAGAAGCAAAUAGAUUGACUUAGUUUGUACAGUUACCAACAAAAAAUAAAGGCAAAAGUACUCAUUACCCCCCCUGAACUUGAAGCUUUUUAUACGGUGUACACCUAAACUAAAUUCCGUUUUAAUUACCCCCCGAACUUUUUUAUUCCUUCGUCGCGUACACCUUUUUCGUCCACCUGGCGUAGUAAUUGACAACACACUCUACUAGGCGCGUGAGGAAGUGAUUUUUUGCCACAUCACAAAGCUACAACGGUAAAAAAACGUAAAAUCUCCAUUUUUCUUUAAUAUUUGGCAUAUUUUAAACGAAAAAUUGGGCAAAAUGUAAAUGAAAAUUAAAGGAAAGAAAGAUUAACACUUACUUGGUAAGAAUUUCAGACAAAUUUGAAAUUUAAUCGACCAACUUCACGUCUAGAAAAACCCAAAUCCAGAAGGAGUUCCGCGAAAUCAGCCCUUAUUCAAAAAUAACUUUUAAACAAUGAAUUUUAAAUUUAAGAAAUUUAAUUUUUUGCAAUAUUAACUUAUCCAGGUGGCUAUUAUUUAUCCAGGUGGAAAUCCACAUCACCACUUUUGCCAGCUGUUGCGCACGUGUAGUCACAAUAGGAGCAGGUGGACGAAAAAGGUGUACGCGACGGAGGAAUAAACAAGUUCAGGGGGGGUAAAUAAAACGGAAUUUAGUUUAGGUGUACACCUUAUAAAAAGUUUCAAGUUCAGGGGGGUAAUGAGUACUUUUGCCAAAAAUAAAACAUUCCCUUCUUUUGUGGUAACAAUUCAUAAUCAACGCGAUUUUUUUUUCCUUUUUUCAUAUAUAAUAAAUAAAAGAUUUGAUCUUAUUAUUUAAUUUCUCUACGUAAAAUGAAAUGAACAGAAUAAUAAAAUUGAUAUAUUUCAAAAUAAAAAUAAUCUUAAAAAUGGUGGAAAAUCUACCAUUUUAUAAAUUUCAGCUUCUAAGAAAUUAAAUAAAUUCCCGUUAAUAAAGUCGUUGGAGUACAAGAUUUGGAAUCAAAAUAUGCGAGUAAUUUUUUUUAAUUUUAUUCUAAUUGCAGGAAAUUCAUUUCUAUUAAAUAUAAAUAAAUUUCUCUCUACAACUAACGAGUAAUAACAUUUUUCUUUUUAUAAUAAAUUUUAGUAUUCUCAAGUCAUUAGUAGCAAUAAUAUAUUUCAUUUCAUCCUCCAUUGAAUAAAAAUUAGGACUUAUAUCUUCUUUUACCGUGAAUUUUAUUUUGAAUCAUUGAGGUAAGGUUCUUUUCUUAAGAGUAAUUUGAAGAAAAAGUAGUGGGAAAAAGAAACUACUGAAAAAUGGGUUAAAGACUUAAUUUCACGUAGACAUGAGUUGUAUUUGUAUAAAAAUAAUCAAGAGACCAUACAUGAUAAUUUUUUGAAUACUUAAAGGACUAAAACUAGCAAAUGCAUAGUCAAGGGACUAAAAAUGAUAAGUAUAUAAUUAAGGGACCAAACUUGAUAACAUUUUGAAUAGUUAAAGGACUAAAUAUGAUAAAUGUAUAGUUAUAGGACUAUUUUAUGCCUACUUCAAUAGUUGAGGGAUCAUUUAUGAAAUUCUCUAAUUAUGAACAAUCGUACCCAAAGAAAAUUUUGUAUAUAGCUAUGAACUUUUUUGUAGUAAUUAGUUGAAUUAUUCAACUACAAAUUCUAAGUCGUCGCUAUUUCAUACCUUACAUAUUUUGUGACAAUUUUUGUUGUCACUAAAUUGUAGGUUGAUUAGAGACAAUAAAAAUGAUUGUCACCAAUUGUUUAUAUUAUUAGUGACGAAAAUAAAUGUCACAGCUAAAUCUAAAAUUUUAUAGCUAAAACUUAGAAUAUUUAACUACAAGCUCUAAUUUGUCACUAUUGUAUCAACAUAUUUUUGAGACGAAAUUAAUUUGUGUCUAAAAAUUAAUUAAUUUUAAGACAAAAAUAAUUUGUCACAAAUUAAAAAAAUCAUUAGUGAUGAAAUAAUGUGUCACUGGUGACUUUAAAUUUGUGACUGACAAUACUCAAUAAAUGGCGCCAAUACAUUUUUUGGUGGGAAACUUUAGUGGGCAAAACUUUGCUACGAACUAUUAUGUUUCGUCACUAAAAGUAUCUUCCUUGUAUAUUUAAGCACGAAAAGUAAUUUUUGUCACUAAAAGUGAACAAUUAAUGAUGAUUUUUAUGUCGUAGCUAUAUAUCAUAUUUGUUGUAGUGAUUAUAUAUAUAAUUUUUUAAAUUAUAAUUUUUUAUACAUAAAUGUAUUUACUUUGUAUUAUUUUUAAAAAUAUUUCUUAUACUUUUUCAUAGUUUUUAUCUUUUAUCAUAUUAUUUCUAGUUUUUGAGACUUGAAUUUUGAAUGGUCCAAUAAAUAUUAUAUAGUCCAUAUAUAAUAAUGUCUUUAUCUUAUCUUUUGUGUGUGUGCGCGUGUGCGUGUGUGUGAAUUUUAGUUGAAAAUUUUAAAUACUUUUUGAGGGUUUCUUCUUACAUGAAAAGAAUAUAAAAUAAAAUAAUUAUAUUAUACCUUCCUAUAAAUGUGUAGAUGUAUAAUUUGGUUCCAUAGGAAAAAAACAUUUUUUUUUUACAUGUAAUCAUCUUUUUUAGAAAUGAAGGAACAUUCUUGUAAUUUAUAACGAUUUCAAAAUAAAUAACAUAAAUAUACAAUUUUCAAAGUAAACAAAAAGCAAUAGAAGAAGAAGAAAUAAAUAAAUAUACUUUGAAGAAUAGAUUAGAUAUAUAGAGUUUGUUUAUUAUAAUUAAUAUACUUUUAUUGUCAGUAAGUAAUGGUUACAAUUAAAUAGCGAGUAAUGUUUUAACCGUGGAAAUUUCUACGUACGUAUUUAUCCAUACAAUAUAUAUUUGACUACAUAUACAUACAUCAUCUUCUUAUUUUAAAUUUUUGUGAUAAGUCUAUCACUAAUUUAUAAUUUCCUUAGUAUAAAACAAACUAAUAUUAGUUAAUACUUUAUAUCAUUUAUUUGCGUAAUUAAAUUUGACUUUAUUCAUUUCGAUCUUUUUCACCCUUCUCUAACCAAAUAUGAAUCGUAAUUAUGUUUAAUGAAUUUAAUUUUGUAGAAAUAUAAUAACCAAUUAUUAUGGAGUCAUAUGAAAUUAAUACAACUUGAUCUUAUGAUGAAAAAGUAAGUUACGUCAUUUCUUUAUAAUAUCUAUAACAAUGAUCAUGUCUUAAUUAUUUUAAAUAAUAUAAAUAUUUCUUUUUUGGGUAUAUAAUUUUUUAAAGUUUUCACGCAUGCAUUUUUCUCGAUAGUUUUUAUAACUUACAUAGCAAACACCAAUAAAGAAUAUAUUUUAAUCAUUAAGAUUUAUUUCUUUUAAGCCAUAAAUUUUAAAUUUUAAAAUUUUAUUAGUAAUUAGCAGAUUUUUCAACAUAAUUAAGUUACUAAUUUGAACCAAGAGAAAAUAAUUAUAAAUUUAAAAUUUGAUUUAUACUUGAGAGCAGAAUUUCAACCAUAAUUAAGAUAAAUUCGUGAGGAAGUGAUAUCUCUUUAGGAUAUACUCUAGCAUUUUAAAAUACUAAUUUGAACUAAAAGAAAUUAUAAACUUACACCAAUCAGAAGUUGGUAUAAAAAUUAAACUUAAGAGACAUCAUAAAGACACACAAGAAAGAAAGAAAGAAAGGAAAAAGAAAGAAAUAAUACAAUACACAUAUCAUUACGACUUUAAUCGCUAAAAAUAGAAGGAAAAACAAAAUUAAUACAUAAUUGUGUAAGAUCUUGUUGAUAUUCAUUUCACAAGACUGUCAAUAUUCAUGAACUUUCCUCUUAAACAAAAGUAGAAAGACAUCACUCUUGUUGAUAUCCACUUCAAGUCUAUCACUAUGCAAAAUCUUUUUUCUUAUCAAAAGUAGUUUGACUCUAUGCCUUCUUCAUUUUGUUAUCCGUCAUUUUUUUCUGUUAAAAAUGUUGUGUAGCGUUAGUUGUUCACUAAAACUCUCUUCGCAUCACCAUUUAUCUUUAGUAGUAGUACAGUACAUCUUACUGGAAAAAAAAGGUGCCAAAUGCUAGGUUGAAACAUUAGUCUAAUUGUCAAGAUUUUAUAAGUUAUAGCUAAUAUUAGUUCAUAUCUGAUUUUAAUUAAAAAGUGCAACUUGGAAUGGCAUAGAGAGCUCUUACGUAUCAAGCUGCCCAAAAUUACGUACUUCUAUGAAAUCAAAGGUGUUUAGAACUAGAAUUGGUGGGGUGAGCCAGGUCGAGGCAGUAGUGCAACACCAAGGCGACUCAUGAAGGCCCCAAUAGCAAGCUACCAUGCUGAACCUUCCCCCUUAAAAAAUAGAGUUAAUAUCGUGUGAGUCGAUGACUCACAUAUCAGAUAUUAAACUGAUAAGAACAGAUACUACACUUGAUCUUAGCCAAAAGGCCGAGAAAGGUAUGAUUUUCCAUGUGUAAUCGGGGCUAUUUUAUUGGUUACUUGGUUACAUAAAAUUUCUCUUUCUAGGCAGUGUGGGACUAGAAGAGCUUCUAUAUAUUAAACUAGAAAUCAUCUUCUCUGGUUUUAUAUAUUAAACUUAUUCAAUUCCUUUAAUCGUCUAUAAUAAAAUUGAUCAAAGAGUAGUGAAUGAAACAAUUUACGUUUUUCCGACCCCACCCCACCCCAGGAGGAUCAAUAUUCAAUAGUAAUGUCACUUACCCUCCAACAUGACUCGAACCGUCAACCUAUAGGUUGAUAGUGAAGAAGCUCAACUACUUGAGCAAGCCUCAUAUAUCCUGCAACAAGUUGUCAAGAAAUGUAAAUUACAAUUUGUAGUUUACAUAACAUUUUCCACCAUAACGUAUCGAUCUUGCUCCAAAAAUAUUAAAGGUUAAUAAUAAUUUCACAAAAAUCCUAAGUACUAAUAUCUUUGUCCUGGAUCUCGAAGAAACUCCUUCAACAAACAAUUGAAAGAAAUGUUAACAACCUAGAAUUGGUGGGGUGCGCUAAGCCAAGGCAGUAGUGCAACACUUAGAUGACGCUUAAAGGUCGUGAUAGCAAGCUACCGUGAUGGACCUUCCCCUCAUAUUCCUCUGUUGUGAACAAUAUUGAAAACUAAUAAGAAACACAAAUUAUUUUUCACGAAUCUUUAAAGAUUUGUCAAUUCAUAACACAAAUUGAAUCUUUUGAUACUCUAGAGAUUUGAGAAUGACCUUUUAUAAUUCCCAAAAAAUUGAUAAGUGAGAAUGUAAAGUAAGCUUUUACAACUAAAUUUAGUGGGGGUGCGUCAAGUCAAGACAGUAGUGCAACGCCAGAGGACGCUUGAAGGUCCUGAAUCACAAUAGCAAGCAACCGUAUGGACAUCCCCUCAAAAAUAGAGUUAGUAUAAUGUAAUAUACUAAUAUGAACAGAUACUACACUUGAUCUAACAUUUGAGGUGGUACUUUGCGACUAUAUAGGUAAAAUGGUAUUUUUAAAACAUCAAGCGCCAGUGGUCUAGUUGUAGAAUAGUACCCUGCCACUGUACAGUCCCGGGUUCGAUUCCCGGCUGGUGCAUUAUCUGAGUGAGAACUUUGGGUGCUCACCUUGUGUCUGUUAUUAGACGACAAAAUAGAGCAUCUGAGCCUUUCUUUUUCCAUUAUUAUUUUUUAAUGUUGUUAGAGAUUACAAGAUGUGAAAUCGAAUUCGGUCCAAUUAUUAUUUGUGCUGAUUUAUUUUUAAAGUAUUUGUUAAAUGAGUUAUUUUUUUAUAUAAUAUUUAUUAAUAUGAAGAAAUUAUUAUAUAGAAGGGUAAAAUUGUCAAAUUUAAAUUAAUUUGUAUUUAUUUUAAAUAGGUUUAAAGAAUGGUUACAAGAAAAUGAAAAUAAGGGAGGUAGACGUAAUAUAUUAAACCACAGGGAAGGUGAGUGUUAUAGAGCGAAACCUGGAGGGAGGUCUCUGAAAUUAUCUCUAUCUAUUAUAAAUAACCUAUAAUAUUGUCACACCCCUUUUCGCACCGGCGGAUAGGGUUUUUCCAAUUUCAGUGACGGUAUUGAUUAAAAGAUUAUUUAAUUUAUUUUUCAGAGUCGCCACUUGGAAUUGAGUUAUGGUGUUCCAAGUCACCUUUUCUUUAAUCCCUAAUCAAAUGGAAAUGACUCUUUAUUUUGGUCUGCCAUAUAGAAAUUCGGGUAAGGAAUUAUGUUGACCGAGGGGAAGGUAUUAGGCAUCCCUCGAGUCCCGUGGUUCUAGUACGGUCGCUUUUAUUGACUUAUACUUAUCUUAAUUGUUUUUGGAUAAAUUGUGUCUAAGGACAUGGUUCGCUUGUAUUUUUUAGUGUUGAAUUUUAUUGAUCUUAAACCGGAUGCAUAACUGCAUUCUCGAUCUUGACAUUUAGAGACAUAAUUGUCUUCCCUUCUCGAGUGCAUCACACCUAAUAAUCUCAAUUUACACUUCUUGGUUUGAAUUAAUAACAAAUUAAUUAUUAAAACAAUUUAGUCAAGAUGCGUCACCACAUCCUUGAGUUUAUUUUUAAUUGUCUCAAUAAAGAUGUGCAACCGCAUUCUUAAUUGAAGCGAAUAUUUUCAAUAUACCUAAAAGUUCAUCUAAAGUUAAAGAAAAUAUUUGUUCCUUAUAAAAAAUAAUAAUCAAAUAACAUAAAACUAAUAUAAACUUUUAGAGUGCAUGAUAAAAUUUAGAUCAAUAUUACAUCUUUUUAUUUUUAUUUACUCUUAAAGUUAACGUCAAAAUUAAGCAUUACACGGGUAGCAAUUUCUUACUAAUCUAACAAAACAAUGACGAAUUACUAAAACAAAUCUUUUUUUUUUGUUUGAUAAAAUAAAAGCAACAAUAAUUUUUUAGCCUAAUAAUCUCUAUUUUUAUCCUUAUUGGCAUCUAAGUUAAAACAAGAACACAACCACAACCCGUUCAUUUUUAAGAAAUAACAACUAACAAAUAAAAAUAAAUAAAUCAAGAUAACCACCAAUUAAAACUAUCUCAAUUCAUUAAAUAGAGAUAUGCUUAACACUUAACUCAAUAUUCAAUCAAAUAAUGAAUAAAAAAAGGAAAACUUGUUAUAAAAUUACAUCAAAUUCCAUAAAUAAAUUAAUGAGAUAAGGUAAAGUUGAAUACCGCAAAUAAAAAAAAUAAGUACCGCAAGAUUUGACUGAAACUCGAUUGAAACACCCACAAAUCUUUUGUUGUUAUGGGUGGAUAUAUAGUGGAGUAAUCUAGUAUGGAUUUUGUUUUUCUGGGUGUGUAUGGUUUUUUCCUUUUUUCCUUCACAUUUUUUUUUGUGUAUGUCUUUGAAGAAAAAAUAUUUUGGUUGUUUGCAUCUUUAGUGCGUGUAUGUUGCCUUUUUUCUUUUUUUUUUUUUUUUUUUUUGGGGUUGUGUCGUGACUCGUGUGUGUAUUUUUUUUUUUGGUAUUGCUGAUUGUAGUAUGUAUAGGUGAGGGUGGAGUUGGGGUAGUGGGUAGAUGUGAGGGAGUGAUGGUGAGGUUUCGGGGUGAUGUGGGGUUGUGGGUGAGAGUAAGUGGGAGGUUAAUUUUAUUUAUUUUUCUUUAAUUAAAUAUAUGUAAAAAAAAAAGAAUAAUAAGAAUAUUAGUCAACAAAAAUUAAUCUAAAAUUAUAAUUAAAAAUACAAGAUUAUUUAUUAAACCUAAUUUAAAAUAAAACAUAUAUUAUUUUUUUUGUCAUUUUUUAUUAUAUUGCAAAAUAAAACUUAUCCUAAAAUCAAUUUUUUUUAAAAUAUUUUAAACUAAACUUAAAAAAAUAAGAUAAAAAUUAAAAUAUCUAAUUUAAAUAUAAAGAAACUUUUUUAACCAAUAAAAAAUGGUGUACAACUUUAAGUUCGGUCAAAAAUUACGUGUCUACAAAUAUAUAGAAAAAUUAUUAUGAUUUUUAUUUGAGAUAGAUAUUAAUAACCAAUAAUGAAGAAAAAAAAUAUUGUAAUUACUAUUUGAGAAAUGUCACUACACCAAUAAUAAAAAAAUAUGAUUUAAAGCAAAAAAAAGAUAAAAAAUAAUAAUUAAAAACACUUAGGGCAUACGUUUUUACGCCCAAAACUUAUGGUUUUAUGCUUAGUGCUUACUCCCCAAAUUCUAGGACUUAUCAAUUUGCGCGCGAAGCGUUUCUUUUACGCCCCGCUCUGAGACUCGCUCAAAAAACGUUUUUGAAAACACUGGUUACAACUCUUUAGAUAGCUGUAGAAGUUUAACUACUGAUGGUAAUAAUAUUGAUAUUUAGUUUCAUUCCUUUUUUUCUCUACCAUUCCAAAUUGUGAUGAUAUCAGUAUACUUCCAUUUUUCCCUUAAAAAUAUAUUAAUUAUAUCUUGAUUGAUGAAACUUAUGAUUAAGGGAGCAAGUAUCAUUUGUCUGAUGGAUCUCACGAAAUCAUGAAUUGAAAAACCUACAUGAGGACCCAUUUGGUAGAAGGUGAUGAAGAGUUGUUGGACUCAGCCUCUUCUGUUUCUCUUGUUGAUGCUGGUGAAAAUAAUUCAACUACUAAAUCGACUUUCACAAAUUUCAAUGAAUCACCUUACUAUAAGUUUAGAUAUAUUAGAGAUAUAGGGUGUGUUUGGUAUGAAGGAAAACAUUUUUCGGAAAAUGUUUUCCAAUUUUCUCAUGUUUGGUUGGGUUAAAUGUUUUCCAAAUCAACUCAUUUUCCUCAAAUUUAAGGAAAAUGACUUCCCUUCAAAACUUAAGGAAAACAUUUUCCAAACCUCUCUUCCAACUUCAAAUUACAAUUACUUUUUUGUUGAAAAAAUCAAUUUAUUUUGUCCCUACCCUCAAACCACCCCCCUCCCGCAAAAAAAUAAUAAUUUUAAAGCGUAUUUUUAAAUUCAAUUUUUUUACCCCACCUUCACCCCUACCCCCAUCCCCUCCCAAAAAAAAUAUUAAAAAUUAUUUUUAAAAGAUAUUUCUAAUUUCAAUUUUUUAUAUUUUUACCCCCCACCCACUACCCUCGUCCCCCCGUCCCCAUCAGCCCCCUAUCUGCCCCAAAACCUCCUUCAAAAAGAAAAAAAUUGAGUUUUUUUUNNNNNNNNNNNNNNNNNNNNNNNNNNNNNNNNNNNNNNNNNNNNNNNNNNNNNNNNNNNNNNNNNNNNNNNNNNNNNNNNNNNNNNNNNNNNNNNNNNNNNNNNNNNNNNNNNNNNNNNNNNNNNNNNNNNNNNNNNNNNNNNNNNNNNNNNNNNNNNNNNNNNNNNNNNNNNNNNNNNNNNNNNNNNNNNNNNNNNNNNNNNNNNNNNNNNNNNNNNNNNNNNNNNNNNNNNNNNNNNNNNNNNNNNNNNNNNNNNNNNNNNNNNNNNNNNNNNNNNNNNNNNNNNNNNNNNNNNNNNNNNNNNNNNNNNNNNNNNNNNNNNNNNNNNNNNNNNNNNNNNNNNNNNNNNNNNNNNNNNNNNNNNNNNNNNNNNNNNNNNNNNNNNNNNNNNNNNNNNNNNNNNNNNNNNNNNNNNNNNNNNNNNNNNNNNNNNNNNNNNNNNNNNNNNNNNNNNNNNNNNNNNNNNNNNNNNNNNNNNNNNNNNNNNNNNNNNNNNNNNNNNNNNNNNNNNNNNNNNNNNNNNNNNNNNNNNNNNNNNNNNNNNNNNNNNNNNNNNNNNNNNNNNNNNNNNNNNNNNNNNNNNNNNNNNNNNNNNNNNNNNNNNNNNNNNNNNNNNNNNNNNNNNNNNNNNNNNNNNNNNNNNNNNNNNNNNNNNNNNNNNNNNNNNNNNNNNNNNNNNNNNNNNNNNNNNUUUUUCACCCCUACCCUCGACCCCCCUCCCCACCCCCAAAAAAUAAUUUUAAGUUUGUUUUUCAAAAAUAUUUUCAAUUUCAAAAUUUAUUUUCUACUCUAGUUAAAAUAAAAGAUAUUUCUCAAAAAUCAUUCAUAAAUCAAACACUAAAAAUCUUUUUUGAAAAAUAUUUUCUACUCACCAACCAAACAUGAGAAAAUAAGUCAAAAAUCAACUUGUUUUCCAGGAAAACAAUUUCUAGGAAAACAUUUUCCUUCAUACCAAACACACCCAUAAUUAGAAGCCCAAACUUGGUAACAAGAAGAUCUAUGUUGAGUGAGACUCAUAGUAUUAUUGUUCUUGAUCUCUUUGACCAGUUGGAGAAUCAGAAGGCUCGAACUAAUAAUGCAGAAGAGCAACUGAAGAUUAGGAGAAGAGUAUUCUUUGAUUCGGUAGUUGAAUGUCUGAAAUUCAGUUGAUUGUAAACAGAGUUUUGGCAGAGGUUUUGAAGCUUGGGAUGAAAUGUGGACAACCAGUUCUUCCUUUUGAUCAAUGUUGUCCAUUUUUCCCAAGCGUCAAAACCUCUGCCAAAACUCUGUUUACAUCUGAAUUCCAGACAUUCAACCACCUAAUCAAACACCACUUUUCUCCUAAUCUUCACUUGCUCUUUUGUAUAUUUAUUAAUUCAAGCCUUCUGAUUCUCUAAGUGGUAAAAGAGAUCAAGAGCAAUAAUACUCUGAGACUCACUCAACACAAAUCCUGCCAUUACCAAGUCUAAACUUCUAAUAUAUCUCUAAUUUAUCUAAAAUUCCAAUAAAGUGAUUAAUUAAAAUUUGUGCAAGUCAAUGUAGUAGUUAAAUCAUUUUCACUAGGAUUAGCAAGAGAAACGGAAGAGGUUAAAUCUCACAACUCUGCAUCACCUUCCAACAAAUAGGUCCGCAUGUAGGUUUUCCAAUUUAUAAUUUCGUGAGAUUCACCAGACAAACAGAUGAUACUUGCUCCCCGAAUCUUAAGUUUCAUUAGUCAAGAUUUAAUUGAUAUAUUUUCAGGGGGAAAUGGAAGUAUAUUGGUAAUGACAACAUUUAGUUCUUCAUUCAAUGUAAUGACUUGACAACAUCUUUAAAGUCCAUGAGCAAUUACUACACUGAUCUUAUGAGAAAGUGUAUCACCUAAUUUUUAUGAAUCUCUUAUAAUUUUCAGUUAAACAAACUUAUGAAAUGCCUUUUCUUUAACAUUUCUAUUAAGCAAAUUCAACUACCUUCUUCCUAUAAUUAAUUUAUUGAAGCAAUGCUAUACAACCAAAUUAGAGAACAAUGACUAAAAAGGCAAAAAAACAAGUAGUCAAUAUAGGCGUAAAAAGAAAUUUGACGAAAGAGUGGAUACUUAAUCAAUCGAAUUCAACAUAUAUCAUCAUAAUCUUAAAUAGGAGAAAAAAUAGAAUGAAACUAAGUAUUAGUAUUAUUACCAUCAGUAGUUAAACUUUUGUAGCUAUCCAAAGAGUUGCAACUGUCUCCUGAAAUAGAAGGUUCCAAACUUGAGGUCAGACUAGAACAAGGGAGUCUGAAUUUUCUUACACACGUAAUGCUGCUGGCAUUUUUAGGAUUUUCUACUCUAUUUUGGAUCCUGAAAUUGAUGCAGAUAAAAUUAGCCUAGCUAGUUCAUUAUACUUUUUUUUUCCUUUCUAAGAAAAUGCAUUAUAGUAAUAAUACAGAAAUAGGAAUUCAAUAACUGCAAUAAUACCUCAAUCCUGAAUUGGUUGGAUUUUGCAUAUAAAAUCUCAACAUCAAUUUUAUUCCAUCUCCACCAUUUUUCCCAAUACUUAAUAAUUUGUAGUACAC
Molecule: long non-coding RNA, 20887 nt
Filed under: Solanum tuberosum (potato)
Lineage: Eukaryota; Viridiplantae; Streptophyta; Magnoliopsida; Solanales; Solanaceae
Description: long non-coding RNA (STUB_LNC006994)
Rfam family: tRNA (bases 14853-14923)
Source: RNAcentral